Pelodiscus sinensis (Chinese soft-shelled turtle) is the source of this 1152-nucleotide non-coding RNA. NCBI's taxonomy places the organism in Eukaryota, Metazoa, Chordata, Testudines, Trionychidae. The record is from RefSeq and is a predicted model, not a curated record.
CUAAAUCUGUGUCUUUCAACAAAAAAAGUUUUGAAUGAGAAAUGUUGGCCCGCUCUAAUGACGACUCUCAUACCGCUGAGCACUUGAGAACAUGCUGAACUUUGAAGCAUGCAUCGUUCAGUUAAUCAAUGGGGUUAUUUCCUUGCUGAAAUAGACAGGAAGUAAUGCAUCGUGGGAUCGAGAGGAACCCAGACAUUCCCUUCUGCUUGAAUGAAGCUCAGAUUUGACAGAGGCAAGAGGAGAGAGGACUACAGCAGCUGCAACAAGGUGGAACUGCUGAGCUGUAGGAAUAGCCACAGUGUAAAGUCAAUGGCAUUCAAAGCACUAACCGCAGGGAUCAAUUGAAAAGAGGCAGCAAGAAGUGUGACUCUGACGGGAGGUACAAGGUCAAAGCAGCUGGUGGGAAAAAAUCUGAGUAGUAGCAAAAAAAAAAAAAAAUCAUAUUCAUAGAACCACAUUCUUGCCAUAGUUGGUAUGUUCCAAUUUCUUACUGGGAACUUGCAACCAAGCACACUACAUAACAAACAGGACUAAUGAUAAUUAGGUGCCAUACAUGACAAUUCGACACUCCAAUUCUUCACAGGCAAUGGAAAUUCACUGACAUUGUGCAUUGUCCUGAACACAAAAGAGGCAUUCCACAGAGAAUAAAGCAGGAACUCUGCCUGCUUAGCCGAGAAAAAUCAAAGCAAAGCAAAUGUCAUAUUUUCCACGCGCAGAAUAGCUACACUCAUUCAUGCAUAUAAACUUAAAUGCAGAAACAUGACUGUCAGGGAGCAAAGCUGCCAAAACAAUGAAAAACGGUCUGUAGACAGCUUCUUCGUUAGAUUUGAGACUCGUUUUUCAAUGGAGGUGGGCACGAUAUGUAUGUUACAUUAAGAGAACACAGCAUAAAGACCAAUGCCUUAGAACGUAGACGUUAAACGUAUAAAGCUCUGCAAUUAAUUCAAUCGCUAGCUUUUUAUUCAGAUCCAAACUUUGGUGGGUGAAGAGAAAUUUCCAGCAUUUACAGAGUUCCAAUUUCAAAUAUUAGACACUGGUUUCAUCUUGGAAUAUUUCUAAUGCAAUUGUCCCACCUUGCCAAAAAGGCUCCAGUACUAAAAGCAAGGGAUAAAAUGUGCUGCUCAUAGCAGACUCCUCUCUGACCAGAUUAAG